GAAAUGCGAUACUUGGUGUGAAUUACAGAAUCCCGUGAACCAUCGAGUCUUUGAACGCAAGUUGCGUCCGAAACCAUGAGGUUGAGGGCACGUCUGCCUGGGCAUCUCACGUUGAGUCGCCCGCGCCCCCUCCCCCGAAGGGGGGGAAGAAGGGCUGCGGACCGAUGUUGCUCCCCCGCGUGGGCCCACGCGUGGUCGGCCUAAAAGUGAGUCCACCGCGACGGACGAUGCGUCGCGACGAGUGGUGGCUGACAAACCGUUGCGUCGCCUUACGCGCAUUCGGGCCGUCUUGAGAGGCCUGUCGUGACCCUAUCGCACCGCCACCAAGGCUCUCCGAUCACAGCCCUAGGUCAGGCGGGAUUACCCGCUGAGUUUAA
This 377-nucleotide unclassified non-coding RNA is filed under the name uncultured fungus. RNAcentral describes it as "sequence contains ITS1". The stretch from base 1 to 107 matches the Rfam family "5.8S ribosomal RNA", at positions 50 to 154 of the family's 154-position model. Lineage: Eukaryota; Fungi. The record is from RNAcentral.